UUACUAAACAAAAAUGCACUCCGCUGGGCGUUGGCUAAUGAGAAUUAUAGCAUCAUAAUUGGGACCAUGUUUCGGCGGUUCAGAAAACAAGAGUGUCUCGAAUCAACUGACCAUACAACAAUACACUUCAAACCGUUCCAUCACAACACCCAUUAUUUUGAACCAAUUCAAAAGGCUUUGGUGGCGCGGAACGAUCGUCAGUUUGCCGUUAGAUAUCUUGACGACCAAAGGCGUAGAUAGAGUCUGUAACUUUUGCAAAUCUGAAUUUUAUGAUGGAAUACAUGUACUGUUAUUGAUGCAACUUACAUGUGUCAAUAUUUGUAAAACAUUUUGUUCUACUGGGACAUAUC
Long non-coding RNA from Zea mays, 350 nucleotides. RefSeq lists it as uncharacterized. The transcript is spliced from 3 exons. NCBI's taxonomy places the organism in Eukaryota, Viridiplantae, Streptophyta, Magnoliopsida, Poales, Poaceae. The record is from RefSeq and is a predicted model, not a curated record.